AGAUAUUCUUCCCGAAGAUGUUGCACGUUUCUAUGUAGCAGAGAGCAUUUUGGCUAUUCAUUCAAUUCACCAACACAACUAUAUCCAUAGGGACAUUAAACCAGAUAACCUGAUACUAGAUAGGAAUGGGCAUUUGAAGCUUUCAGAUUUUGGCUUAUGUAAACCCCUAGAUGAAAAGUAUUCAUCAAUUCUGUUGAAGAUGAAAAUUUAACUUCCACGGAAUCUGCCAAUGAAGCUGCAAUCCAGUCAGACUCUGGAAGAGCCCCUUGGUUGAUGCCAAAAGAACAACUACAACAGUGGAAACGGAAUCGCCGUGCACUGGCUUAUUACACAGUCGGGACUCUUGAUUACAUGGCUCCUGAAGUUCUAAUAAAGAAGGGUUAUGAAAUGGAGUGUGAUUGGUGGUCUCUGGGUGCAAUCAUGUAUGAGAUGCUCGUCGGCUAUCCUCCAUUUUGUUCUGAUGAUCCUCGGAUAACAUGCCGAAAGAUAAUCAAUUGGA
Hibiscus syriacus is the source of this 499-nucleotide long non-coding RNA. RefSeq lists it as uncharacterized. The transcript is spliced from 4 exons. Lineage: Eukaryota; Viridiplantae; Streptophyta; Magnoliopsida; Malvales; Malvaceae. The record is from RefSeq and is a predicted model, not a curated record.